RNAcentral lists this ribosomal RNA (253 nucleotides) under uncultured bacterium. RNAcentral's name for it is "partial 16S ribosomal RNA". It matches the Rfam family "Bacterial small subunit ribosomal RNA", at positions 524 to 776 of the family's 1533-position model. The record is from RNAcentral.
UACAGAGGGGGCAAGCGUUGUUCGGAAUUACUGGGCGUAAAGGGCGCGUAGGCGGCCUUCUAAGUCGAACGUGAAAUCCCCGGGCUCAACCCGGGAACUGCGUCCGAUACUGGAAGGCUUGAAUCCGGGAGAGGGAUGUGGAAUUCCAGGUGUAGCGGUGAAAUGCGUAGAUAUCUGGAGGAAUACCGAUGGCGAAGGCAGGUCUCUGGGCUGACACUGACGCUCAUGCACGAAAGCGUGGGGAGCAAACAGG